GUUUGCGUUGGCAGCACAUAUACUAAAAUUGGAAUGAUACAGAGAAGAUUAGCAAAGAUGACAUGCAAAUUCAUGAAGCAUUUCAUAUUAAA
Small nuclear RNA from Camelus dromedarius (Arabian camel), 92 nucleotides. The record is from Ensembl. NCBI's taxonomy places the organism in Eukaryota, Metazoa, Chordata, Mammalia, Artiodactyla, Camelidae.